AAGAGCUGGCAUUGUGACUUUUUGGGCAAGGCCAAAGGAUUUAUUUUAUAGCACAUAAGGAUAAAAGAUCCGCACUGAAGAUUUUGGAAGAUGGACAAAUCCUUCAAAGGGAUAGCUGGACUGCAGGUUUGGUCAUUAAAAGCUAGAGAGACAAGAGACGUACACCUUUCUGGAAACUCAGACUGAAAAGUGGUGAAGAAAAGGACAUAAGAGAAGAUAACUUGCUGGAAGACCAAAAUGGCAAUACCUAGAGAAAUUAUGGAAUUAUGUUUAAAUAGGGAAAUUUUUCAAA
Molecule: long non-coding RNA, 292 nt
Filed under: Zonotrichia albicollis (white-throated sparrow)
Lineage: Eukaryota; Metazoa; Chordata; Aves; Passeriformes; Passerellidae
Description: lncRNA (ENSZALG00000014136.1)
Source: RNAcentral